CCUACGGGAGGCAGCAGUAGGGAAUCUUCCGCAAUGGACGAAAGUCUGACGGAGCAACGCCGCGUGAACGAUGAAGGCCUUCGGGUCGUAAAGUUCUGUUGUUAGGGAAGAACAAGUGCUAGUUGAAUAAGCUGGCACCUUGACGGUACCUAACCAGAAAGCCACGGCUAACUACGUGCCAGCAGCCGCGGUAAUACGUAGGUGGCAAGCGUUGUCCGGAAUUAUUGGGCGUAAAGCGCGCGCAGGCGGUUUCUUAAGUCUGAUGUGAAAGCCCCCGGCUCAACCGGGGAGGGUCAUUGGAAACUGGGAAACUUGAGUGCAGAAGAGGAAAGUGGAAUUCCAAGUGUAGCGGUGAAAUGCGUAGAGAUUUGGAGGAACACCAGUGGCGAAGGCGACUUUCUGGUCUGUAACUGACGCUGAGGCGCGAAAGCGUGGGGAGCAAACAGGAUUAGAUACCCUGGUAGUCCACGCUGUAAACGAUGAGUGCUAAGUGUUAGAGGGUUUCCGCCUUUAGUGCUGAAGUUAACGCAUUAAGCACUCCGCCUGGGGAGUACGGUCGCAAGACUGAAACUNAAAUUGAAUUGAAAGGCUGAGACGNGCGAGAGACGACGAGGAGAG
RNAcentral lists this ribosomal RNA (618 nucleotides) under uncultured bacterium. RNAcentral describes it as "bacterial SSU rRNA". It matches the Rfam family "Bacterial small subunit ribosomal RNA", at positions 338 to 948 of the family's 1533-position model. The record is from RNAcentral.